RNAcentral lists this long non-coding RNA (1476 nucleotides) under Pan troglodytes (chimpanzee). Its description in RNAcentral is "long non-coding RNA NONPTRT009699". The record is from RNAcentral. Lineage: Eukaryota; Metazoa; Chordata; Mammalia; Primates; Hominidae.
GGAGGCAACAGUGCCUCUCUAGUCAAAGGACAAGCCCCUAGUGAGAAAGACACUGCCUGCUUACAUCUGCCAAGGGAGGAUUGUGGCAUGGGCCAUGCCACCCCCUGGGCCCCUGUGCUGAGCACUGUGUCCAGAAUGCACCCAGCACAGAAUCCUGCUUGACCUGGUAGCCUGAGUCCGUGAGGCAUGCCCACCGUAACAGGAAGAUGCAGCCAUGAGCCGUCAAGACAGAGGGAGGGGGCCUGGGCCCUGCCCUCUGGAGAAGAGCCCAUGGGGCACGUACAUUCCCACUCUUUCAGCUCCACCUGUUUUCUUGGACCUAAUUUGUUGCCACAAGGAAAGAGCAAGAGCAAAUGGGCAGUGUAGUCUCCAGACUGUGUCCUGCUGACUGCUGAGGGCAAGUGGCUGGAGGGACAGUGGCCACAGAGUGGCCAUCUGGACACACUGGAGACAGCAGGUUCUGGCCCCUGAGAGCUCAGAUGGGACACAGUGGGGCAAUUCCUGGUGAGAUCAACAGAUACGUUCCUGAGAUAAGCUCUCUUUUUCUCGGAAGGGACUGGAUUGAAAGAUACUGACACAAAAGCAGAGGCACACCUCUGGAGCCACCUGGUGUGGUCAGGUAACAAGCAUGAACAAACCUGCUUUAAAAACACAGUACAAGGCUGGGCGCAGUGGUUCACACCUGUAAUCUCAACACUUUUGGAGACCGAGGCGGGCGGAUCACCUAAGGUUAGGAGUUCAAGACCAGCCUGGCCAACAUGGUGAAACCCCAUCUCUACUAAAAAUACAAAAAUUAGCCAGAUGUGGUGGCAGGCGCCUGUAGUCCCAGCUACUCGAGAGGCUGAGGCAGGAGAAUCGCUUGAAGCUGGGAGGUGGAGGUUGCAGUGAGCCAAGAGUGCGCCAUUGCACUCCUGCCUGGGGGACAAGUGCGAGACUCUGUCUCAAAAAAAGAAAAACAAACAGUAACAAUGACAACAAAAUAACAGAACAAAACCAGAACCUUGCCCCAGUUCUGUGCCUUCCUUCCUCUUUCCAUAAAUCCUGUGGCUUUUGUCUACUGCCGGGACAAGGAAUACUUUCUAAAUGCUGCCGCAUUUGUCCUCAGUGAACAACCCCAAAGGUUCAGGGGUGUGCCUCUCACUGCCAGUGCGAAUGGGCGGAACCUGGUGAUUAAAUCUGUGUGCAGUUAGCCAGCAUCUUCCCAUGAGAGUGCUCUCACCCCACACAGUGCAAUGAGGACAAACCAGAAUUCUCCAUGGCAUUUAUUCCAAGGCAAUGACUUUUUCAGCUUCAUCAUAUAUUUCUCUGUCCUUCCUCUGCUCCACCUUACCUCCUUGCCUUUGGGGGUUGGAAGCUUCUAGAGAGAGAGAGACCUAUUAGCUGGCAUAACUCAGGGCAGACUUAAUCUAAGGGCCAGGGAAGGCUGGGGAGGGAAAGACUGAGUGGGUUUGGGAACUGGUGGGAAGGAGGGGGGGU